AGCUCUCAUGGAGAUCCAAGACAUCCCCAGUGUGAAGUGACAGAGAGAUGGACAGAUCCCAUACAGACAUAUUCCUGGGAAACACUUGCUGUGUGUGUGUGGGUGAGCACUAUCCUGCUGAAAAAUACCAAUUGGAGGCCCUGCCAUGAGAAACAGGACACGUGGCCAAAGGAUGUCAUGCACAUUUCACUGAGCUGGGGUGGGCAACUGUCAUAUGCGAUGGCUCCCCACAUCCUCACACCAGAAGUUGGAGAAGUGAUUUGUCAAUGAGUGUAUUCCUAUAAACUGCUAAUGGCUUAGCAUAGGUAGCUUGUUAGCAUAGAAUAAGCUAAAUCUAUAUAUAAGCAAUUGUUGCAAUUGUACUAUGCUAGAGAGAGAGAGAGAGGAUUCACUUAUUAGUGUUGGAAUAUAGAACAUCGAAGCUUAUAUGAGAGAUGUUGUGAAUGGGUGUGUUUUCUACAUGUAAUAUUAAAUUAUGAUAAGAUUAACUGUGUCUGUAUCAAUAAAAGCAGAAACAAAG
Molecule: long non-coding RNA, 520 nt
Filed under: Astyanax mexicanus (Mexican tetra)
Lineage: Eukaryota; Metazoa; Chordata; Actinopteri; Characiformes; Acestrorhamphidae
Description: lncRNA (ENSAMXG00005005808.1)
Source: RNAcentral